This 513-nucleotide ribosomal RNA is filed under the name uncultured bacterium. RNAcentral describes it as "partial 16S ribosomal RNA". It matches the Rfam family "Bacterial small subunit ribosomal RNA", at positions 28 to 507 of the family's 1533-position model. The record is from RNAcentral.
GACGAACGCUGGCGGCGUGCUUAACACAUGCAAGUCGAACGAAAAGAGGGAAAGAGCUUGCUCUUUCCGGAAUUGAGUGGCAAACGGGUGAGUAACACGUAAACAACCUGCCUUCAGGAUGGGGACAACAGACGGAAACGACUGCUAAUACCGAAUAAGUUCCAAGGGCCGCAUGGCCCAUGGAAGAAAAGGUGGCCUCUACCUGUAACCUAUCGCCUGAAGAGGGGUUUGCGUCUGAUUAGCUGGUUGGAGGGGUAACGGCCCACCAAGGCGACGAUCAGUAGCCGGUCUGAGAGGAUGGACGGCCACACUGGAAUUGAGACACGGGCCAGACUCCUACGGGAGGCAGCAGUGGGGAAUCUUCCGCAAUAGGCGAAAGCCUGACGGAGCAACGCCGCGGGAGUGAUGACGGCCUUCGGGUUGUAAAACUCUGUGAUCCGGGACGAAAAGGCAGAGUGCGAAGAACAAACUGCAUUGACGGUACCGGAAAAGCAAGCCACGGCUAACUACGUG